GUGGAGCAUGUGGUUUAAUUMGAAGCARCGCGAAGAACCUUACCAGGUCUUGACAUCCUSUGACAAUCCUAGAGAUAGGACGUCCCCUUCGGGGGCAGAGUGMCAGGUGGUGCAUGGUUGUCGUCASCUCGUGUMGUGAGAUGUUGGGUUAAGUCCCGCAAMGAGCGCAACCCUUGAUSUUAGUUSCCAGCAUUCAGUUGGGCACUMUAAGGUGACUGCCGGUGACAAACCGGAGGAAGGYGGGGAUGACGUCAAAUCAUCAUGCCCCUUAUGACCUGGGCUACACACGUGCUACAAUGGACAGAACAAAGGGCAGCGAAACCGCGAGGUUAAGCCAAUCCCACAAAUCUGUUCUCAGUUCGGAUCGCAGUCUGCAACUCGACUGCGUGAAGCUGGAAUCGCUAGUAAUCGCGGAUCAGCAUGCCGCGGUGAAUACGUUCCCGGGCCUUGUACACACCGCCCGUCACACCACGAGAGUUUGUAACACCCGAAGUCGGUGAGGUAAAACCCUUUUWC
RNAcentral lists this ribosomal RNA (516 nucleotides) under Bacillus subtilis subsp. subtilis str. 168. RNAcentral's name for it is "partial 16S ribosomal RNA". Lineage: Bacteria; Bacillati; Bacillota; Bacilli; Caryophanales; Bacillaceae. The record is from RNAcentral.